Molecule: long non-coding RNA, 1506 nt
Organism: Mytilus californianus (California mussel)
Lineage: Eukaryota; Metazoa; Mollusca; Bivalvia; Mytilida; Mytilidae
Exons: 2
Source: RefSeq, a predicted model, not a curated record
UUUUACCAUAAAUGAGCAAGAACAAUUACCUUUACUAAUUUGCUUUAUGUUUUGUACAAGUUUCAGAUCCUUAAAAUACUGGUUUGAGAAAAUUUUAUGUUGAAUGUACAGAUAAUUAAGGUAAGUGAAUGGGAGUACAGAGAUAUUGGUUUACUGUCUUUGUAGGACUCUCCACAGAUAGUGAAUGAACAUUUUAAUCAAAAAUAAUAUAUAUGAUAUCUUGCAUAGUAUUAUUCUCUACUACAUGUUUAUGUAAUUGCCACUUUUAAGAAAUAAAUUUUAAAUUCUAGGAAAAUCAUAAUUUUCCUUUGACAAGAGACAAAUUAAAUCAAUAAAAAUCUGAAGAGGCUUAAAUGUGCUAAUUUUUUUUUAAAUUAAUUUUAUCCUGUGUGAAAAGUUAUUUACAAUACAUUCCAAGAUAUUCUUGAAAAGUUCAAAGGAGAAAAGUUUUUAAAGAUUGAAUGUUUAAUAUAGUUAAUUAAACAUUUGUUUACCUUGAAACAUUUGCCUAGUACAUGUCAUUCCAUGGUAUCUUAUUUCAUGUUUUAAUGAUACUGGUAAUAUUUGUGUUGUCUUGGGAAAGUUGGUAUUGCACCUUUAGUACCUGUAUUUGUGAAUGCUGGUCAUUUUAUACCGUCUUGGGAAAGUUGGUAUUGCACCUUUAGUACCUGUAUUUGUGAAUGCUGGUCAUUUUAUACCGUCUUGGGAAAGUUGGUAUUGCACCUUUAGUACCUGUAUUUGUGAAUGCUGGUCAUUUUAUACCGUCUUGGGAAAGUUGGUAUUGCACCUUUAGUACCUGUAUUUGUGAAUGCUGGUCAUUUUAUACCGUCUUGGGAAAGUUGGUAUUGCACCUUUAGUACCUGUAUUUGUGAAUGCUGGUCAUUUUAUACCGUCUUGGGAAAGUUGGUAUUGCACCUUUAGUACCUGUAUUUGUGAAUGCUGGUCAUUUUAUACCGUCUUGGGAAAGUUGGUAUUGCACCUUUAGUACCUGUAUUUGUGAAUGCUGGUCAUUUUAUACCGUCUUGGGAAAGUUGGUAUUGCACCUUUAGUACCUGUAUUUGUGAAUGCUGGUCAUUUUAUACCGUCUUGGGAAAGUUGGUAUUGCACCUUUAGUACCUGUAUUUGUGAAUGCUGGUCAUUUUGUACUGUCUUGGGAAAGUUGGUAUUGCACCUUUAGUACCUGUACUUGUGAAUGCUGGUCAAUCUGUCUUUUUUUAUGUGAAUGUUACCAGUUCAUUAUUUAUUGGUGUUAUUAUCUUCUUUGUAUACAUGUGUGUGACCAGAUCUGGCAGAUCAUCAUGUUUUUUUCAAAAAGAUUUUGCUAAAAACAGGACAACCAUACUCUUUAUGUUUUAUUUAAAAAAUUUAAACCUCCUUUUUGGUUAGACAGAUAUUUGGCUCUUUUUAGGGAUCUUCUGAAAAUGUGGCAAGUUGUAUAAAAUGUGUAUAGUACCAUGUGUUUCAUUUACAAUUUUCUUGUAGUUCAAUAAAUUGUUCAUCAUAUAU